This 69-nucleotide transfer RNA is filed under the name Rattus norvegicus (Norway rat). It matches the Rfam family "tRNA". From Rfam's summary of the family: Transfer RNA (tRNA) molecules are approximately 80 nucleotides in length. Their secondary structure includes four short double-helical elements and three loops (D, anti-codon, and T loops). The record is from Rfam by way of RNAcentral. Lineage: Eukaryota; Metazoa; Chordata; Mammalia; Rodentia; Muridae.
GGGGAUUUAGCUUAGUGGUAGAGCACUUGCCUAGCAAGCGCAAGGCCCUGGGUUCGGUCCCCAGCUCCA